This 27-nucleotide ribosomal RNA is filed under the name Neohypochnicium wakefieldiae. RNAcentral describes it as "Hypochnicium wakefieldiae partial large subunit ribosomal RNA". The record is from RNAcentral. Lineage: Eukaryota; Fungi; Basidiomycota; Agaricomycetes; Polyporales.
AAAUCAUGGUAGGGCUACCCGCUGUAU